CGCCGCGUGAGGGAUGAAGGCCUAGGGGUUGUAAACCUCUUUCAGCAGGGACGAAGCGUGAGUGACGGUACCUGCAGAAGAAGCACCGGCUAACUACCGUGCCAGCAGCCGCGGUAAUACGAAGGGUGCGAGCGUUGUCCGGAAUUACUGGGCGUAAAG
Molecule: ribosomal RNA, 159 nt
Filed under: uncultured Gammaproteobacteria bacterium
Lineage: Bacteria; Pseudomonadati; Pseudomonadota; Gammaproteobacteria
Description: partial 16S ribosomal RNA
Rfam family: Bacterial small subunit ribosomal RNA
Source: RNAcentral